RNAcentral lists this ribosomal RNA (467 nucleotides) under uncultured bacterium. RNAcentral's name for it is "partial 16S ribosomal RNA". It matches the Rfam family "Bacterial small subunit ribosomal RNA", at positions 28 to 506 of the family's 1533-position model. The record is from RNAcentral.
GACGAACGCUGGCGGCGUGCUUAACACAUGCAAGUCGAACGGAAAGGCCCUGCUUUUGUGGGGUGCUCGAGUGGCGAACGGGUGAGUAACACGUGAGUAACCUGCCCUUGACUUUGGGAUAACUUCAGGAAACUGGGGCUAAUACCGGAUAGGAGCUCCUGCUGCAGGGUGGGGGUUGGAAAGUUUCGGCGGUUGGGGAUGGACUCGCGGCUUAUCAGCUUGUUGGUGGGGUAGUGGCUUACCAAGGCUUUGACGGGUAGCCGGCCUGAGAGGGUGACCGGCCACAGUGGGACUGGGAUACGGCCCAGGCUCCUACGGGAGGCAGCAGUGGGGAAUAUUGCACAAUGGGCGGAAGCGUGAUGCAGCAACGCCGCGUGCGGGAUGACGGCCUUCGGGUUGUAAACCGCUUUCGCCUGUGACGAAGCGUGAGUGACGGUAAUGGGUAAAGAAGCACCGGCUAACUACGU